This 253-nucleotide ribosomal RNA is filed under the name uncultured bacterium. RNAcentral's name for it is "partial 16S ribosomal RNA". It matches the Rfam family "Bacterial small subunit ribosomal RNA", at positions 524 to 776 of the family's 1533-position model. The record is from RNAcentral.
UACAGAGGGUGCAAGCGUUAUUCGGAUUUACUGUGCGUAAAGCGCGUGUAGGCGGUUUGCUAAGGCUGGUGUGAAAGCCCUGGACUCAAUUCAGGAAGUGCAUUGGAUACUGGCAGACUGGAGUACAUGAGAGGAGAGUGGAAUUCCUGGUGUAGAGGUGAAAUUCGUAGAUAUCAGGAGGAACAACAGAGGCGAAGGCGACUCUCUGGACUGUUACUGACGCUAAGGCGCGAAAGCGUGGGGAGCAAACAGG